Molecule: transfer RNA, 61 nt
Filed under: Scorpiops jendeki
Lineage: Eukaryota; Metazoa; Arthropoda; Arachnida; Scorpiones; Euscorpiidae
Description: tRNA-Val
Source: RNAcentral
AAGAUCAAAGCUUUACAUAGCAAUUUACUUACACUAAAUAGAUUCUACAUAGAUGUUCUUA